This 253-nucleotide ribosomal RNA is filed under the name uncultured Desulfobulbaceae bacterium. RNAcentral describes it as "partial 16S ribosomal RNA". It matches the Rfam family "Bacterial small subunit ribosomal RNA", at positions 524 to 776 of the family's 1533-position model. Lineage: Bacteria; Pseudomonadati; Thermodesulfobacteriota; Desulfobulbia; Desulfobulbales; Desulfobulbaceae. The record is from RNAcentral.
UACGGAGGGUGCAAGCGUUGUUCGGAAUUACUGGGCGUAAAGCGCGCGUAGGCGGUUUGUUAAGUCAGAUGUGAAAGCCCAUGGCUCAACCAUGGACGUGCAUUUGAUACUGCGAAGCUUGAAUGCGAGAGAGGGUGGUGGAAUAUCCAGUGUAGAGGUGAAAUUCGUAGAUAUUGGAUGGAACACCAGUGGCGAAGGCGACCACCUGGCCAAAUACUGACGCUGAGGUGCGAAAGCGUGGGGAGCAAACAGG